UACCAGCACCCCGAGUGGUCGGGACGAUUAUUGGGCCUAAAGCAUCCGUAGCCGGUUCUACAAGUCUUCCGUUAAAUCCACCUGCUUAACAGAUGGGCUGCGGAGGAUACUAUGGAGCUAGGAGGCGGGAGAGGCAAGCGGUACUUAAUGGGUAGGGGUAAAAUCCGUUGAUCCAUUGAAGACCACCAGUGGCGAAGGCGGCUUGCCAGAACGCACUCGACGGUGAGGGAUGAAAGCUGGGGGAGCAAACCGG
RNAcentral lists this ribosomal RNA (253 nucleotides) under uncultured bacterium. RNAcentral describes it as "partial 16S ribosomal RNA". It matches the Rfam family "Archaeal small subunit ribosomal RNA", at positions 474 to 727 of the family's 1478-position model. The record is from RNAcentral.